UACGGAGGGUGCAAGCGUUAUCCGGAAUCAUUGGGUUUAAAGGGUCCGUAGGCGGGGAUUUAAGUCAGUGGUGAAAUGCAGGGGCUCAACUCCGGCACUGCCAUUGAUACUGGGUCUCUUGAAUCGCCGUGAAGUGGGCGGAAUAUGUAGUGUAGCGGUGAAAUGCUUAGAUAUUACAUGGAACACCGAUUGCGAAGGCAGCUCACUAACGGCGCAUUGACGCUGAUGGACGAAAGCGUGGGUAGCGAACAGG
This 253-nucleotide ribosomal RNA is filed under the name uncultured bacterium. RNAcentral describes it as "partial 16S ribosomal RNA". It matches the Rfam family "Bacterial small subunit ribosomal RNA", at positions 524 to 776 of the family's 1533-position model. The record is from RNAcentral.